Long non-coding RNA from Chelonoidis abingdonii (Abingdon island giant tortoise), 781 nucleotides. RefSeq lists it as uncharacterized. The record is from RefSeq and is a predicted model, not a curated record. Lineage: Eukaryota; Metazoa; Chordata; Testudines; Testudinidae.
GUGUGGGUCUGGAGCUCCAGACAGUAGGGCCUGCACAGAGAGAAGCAGCCAAGAAUCUGCCUGAAACCUGGGAGGGACAGAGCGGCCAAUCGGGGACACUCCAGGACAGGUGCCAGGAGGAGCACUAUUUCAGGGAGGAAUUGCCCAAAAAGGACAGACCGGAGCUGGCCCCAGUAUCACUGCUAUCCAGAGCUGCAUGGGGCUUUUAUCAUCAUCAUGAAUUGAAGGAUGAGGACACCAAUGGAUCCAACACCACCUAGGAAUAUAACACAAGUUUCAAGAACUUAGGCUUGUCUGCAUGGCACGUUCAUGCAUGGCAAGCCAGUGCAUGAAUCUACAGUACACGAGUUUGCCAAGCAAUAACAUCCUGCCUGGACACUGCCAUGGCACACUUAAAGCUUCUCCAUCAUCUCCUGCAUUUUGUUAGACUCUUAUUAAAUAGCAGAUGCUAACAAAUGGAGGCCAAAGCACUACACCCAUAGUAUCAGCAAAACAAAUCCCACAUUAGAAGGAAGCAACGUAGUCCUGGGAAUACGUCAAGAGAAUGGGAAACAUGGAUCUGGAAUCUAUUCCAGGCUUCGCUACUGACUUGCUGCAGGAUAUUAAUCAAGUUACUCAGGGCCAAGUUGUGAUUUGGAAUACAAGUCCAAGUAACAGAGUAAGAGCAGCCCAGAUACUCCUGCAGGCCCAACAUCCAGGUAGCCUGCAAAAGGGUAAGUGGGAGCCUUGUGCACCUGCUUACUGCUAACUAGAGCUGGCCAACAUCCUUUCAUUAUAAAAA